GACGAACGCUGGCGGCGUGCUUAACACAUGCAAGUCGAACGAAAAGGCCCGGCUUUUGUGGGGUGCUCGAGUGGCGAACGGGUGAGUAACACGUGAGUAACCUGCCCUUGACUUUGGGAUAAAUUCAGGAAAAUGGGGCUAAUACCGGAUAUGAGCUCUUGCUGCAUGGUGGGGGUUGGAAAAUUUCGGCGGUUGGGGAUGGACUCGCGGCGUCUCGGCGUGUUGGUGGGGUAGUGGCUUACCAAGGCUUUGACGGGUAGCCGAACUGAGCGGGUGACCGGCCGCCUUGGAAGGGAGCCACGCACAUUAGGCCUGAGGGAGGGCGCAGACGCGAACGGGAGGCAACGGUGGGGAGUAUGACGGAAUAGGGCGGAGCCAGUGGCGGCGACGCUCGGUGCGGAAUGACGGCCUUCUGGUGAAGAACCACUUUCGCCGUAGACGAAGCGUGAUUGACGGUAAUGAGUAAAAAAGCACCGGCUAACUACGUG
Molecule: ribosomal RNA, 488 nt
Filed under: uncultured bacterium
Lineage: Bacteria
Description: partial 16S ribosomal RNA
Rfam family: Bacterial small subunit ribosomal RNA
Source: RNAcentral